Molecule: transfer RNA, 76 nt
Filed under: Clostridia bacterium
Lineage: Bacteria; Bacillati; Bacillota; Clostridia
Also listed under: 1 other name
Description: tRNA-Phe
Rfam family: tRNA
About the family: Transfer RNA (tRNA) molecules are approximately 80 nucleotides in length. Their secondary structure includes four short double-helical elements and three loops (D, anti-codon, and T loops).
Source: RNAcentral
GCCUCUGUAGCUCAGUUGGUAGAGCAUGUGACUGAAAAUCACAGUGUCGUUGGUUCGAUUCCGACCGGAGGCACCA